Molecule: ribosomal RNA, 253 nt
Filed under: uncultured bacterium
Lineage: Bacteria
Description: partial 16S ribosomal RNA
Rfam family: Bacterial small subunit ribosomal RNA
Source: RNAcentral
UACGUAGGGGGCAAGCGUUGUCCGGAAUUAUUGGGCGUAAAGAGCGUGUAGGCGGUCCGGUAAGUCAGCUGUGAAAGUCAAGGGCUCAACCCUUGAAUGCCGGUUGAUACUGUCGGGCUAGAGUCCGGAAGAGGCGAGUGGAAUUCCCGGUGUAGCGGUGAAAUGCGUAGAUAUCAGGAGGAACACCGGUGGCGAAGGCGGCUCUCUGGACGGUGACUGACGCUGAGACGCGAAAGCGUGGGGAGCAAACAGG